Long non-coding RNA from Oenanthe melanoleuca, 1155 nucleotides. RefSeq lists it as uncharacterized. The record is from RefSeq and is a predicted model, not a curated record. The transcript is spliced from 4 exons. Lineage: Eukaryota; Metazoa; Chordata; Aves; Passeriformes; Muscicapidae.
CAUACUUCUCACUUGCUUCCCCUCCCAUUUCAUGCUCCAGAAGGAUGGAGAUGAGAUUUGGAAGUAAAACUGUGAAGGUCACAGGUUGAGGUUUACUCUCAGCUGUUUCCUCUAUCAUAUGCACAUGCUAAAGGGUUAACCUGAUUUUGAUGUACAAAUCAAAAUUUGAAGAGACAGGCUCAAGUCGUCUUAGGCUCUGUGUCCUUGCUUGAUGAAGAGCCACACUGCCCCCCUCAAAGACUCAUCACCUAAGGAAACAUGCAGUACCCAGGACAAGGCAGUGACUCAUCUAAUCCCUGCUGGUGCUGGCGUGCCUUGAAAAGCCCUCGUUCCUGUUAUGUCUGUAUGGCAUAACACAGAGAGGAGAUGCUCCUGCAGAAAUCCCCCAGUCAGGCCAGCACUCCUGGUCCAAGUCAUGGCCUAGGGUUUCAGGACUCAUCUCAUCUUCUCCAUUGUGCAAGACUAGCACUGCACAUCACUUAGGCCACUGGCCCUGGGACCACACUAUCACUUUGACUUAUUAAUUAGAGCUGCACCCCUUUUUUAAACACUACAUCAAUACAGCAUGUGGCAACUUGGAGGGCAGUGAGGGUCAAACUCAGAAGCAAUACUCUUUCUUUUAUAAAAUCAGCAAAAAAAACCCCAAAAAUGUCAGAGCUGGCAUCAUGAAGAUUGACGUGAAUCCACAGGAAUGCUGUGUUCCUUGCCUAAAUAUGCAAGGUUAAUCUAUCUGCUUCCAGUGGGGCAGAAAGGAGAUUUCUUCAACAUGCCAGGGACUUCUGUAUUUUUUUUUCUGGUGCCUUCCAGCAAAGAUCAUCUGCUAGGAUCAUGUGGAUGUCAUGAGUUCAAUGAAUUUCCCCUGUUAAAGGUAAACUCGGUUGUUUGUAGAGUGGCAGAUACCUUUUCUAUUUGUGGUUGAUAUUGCUUGCAUUUUCCUGUUGACCAUAAUCUAUGGCAAAAAUUUUGUUUGGCUUCACCUCGCCUUCCCCAUCCUGCUCUUUUUAAGGGAGAUUUUAAAAAGCACAGUUUGCAGAACUCUUUAGGAGAGGUGAGCCCAAGAAGAGCCUUCACUCUCGACCACUCACUUGUAUUAUGGACAGAAUAAAGAAUGAUAAUAUAGAUUUUCUUGGUGCCCUGCUUUCAGUGAGACAUCCU